GACGAACGCUGGCGGCGUGCCUAAUACAUGCAAGUUGAGCGAUGAAGAUUGGUGCCUGCACCAAUUUGAAGAGCAGCGAACGGGUGAGUAACGCGUGGGGAAUCUGCCUUUGAGCGGGGGACAACAUUUGGAAACGAAUGCUAAUACCGCAUAACAACUUUAAACAUAAGUUUUAAGUUUGAAAGAUGCAAUUGCAUCACUCAAAGAUGAUCCCGCGUUGUAUUAGCUAGUUGGUGAGGUAAAGGCUCACCAAGGCGAUGAUACAUAGCCGACCUGAGAGGGUGAUCGGCCACAUUGGGACUGAGACACGGCCCAAACUCCUACGGGAGGCAGCAGUAGGGAAGCUUCGGCAAUGGACGAAAGUCUGACCGAGCAACGCCGCGUGAGUGAAGAAGGUUUUCGGAUCGUAAAACUCUGUUGGUAGAGAAGAACGUUGGUGAGAGUGGAAAGCUCAUCAAGUGACGGUAACUACCCAGAAAGGGACGGCUAACUACGUG
This 497-nucleotide ribosomal RNA is filed under the name uncultured bacterium. RNAcentral describes it as "partial 16S ribosomal RNA". It matches the Rfam family "Bacterial small subunit ribosomal RNA", at positions 28 to 507 of the family's 1533-position model. The record is from RNAcentral.